Molecule: non-coding RNA, 82 nt
Organism: Parasteatoda tepidariorum (common house spider)
Lineage: Eukaryota; Metazoa; Arthropoda; Arachnida; Araneae; Theridiidae
Source: the annotation of a RefSeq genome assembly
GCAGUCGUGGCCGAGUGGUUAAUGCGAUGGUCUGGAAAUCCAUUGGGAUCUUUCCGCGUAGGUUCGAAUCCUAUCGGCUGCG